This 178-nucleotide non-coding RNA is filed under the name Pseudomonas sp. Its description in RNAcentral is "6S RNA". It matches the Rfam family "6S / SsrS RNA". Rfam says of the family: E. coli 6S RNA was the first non coding RNA to be sequenced, but its function was unknown until recently. It consists of 184 nucleotides that fold into an extended hairpin structure with a large single-stranded internal bulge. Lineage: Bacteria; Pseudomonadati; Pseudomonadota; Gammaproteobacteria; Pseudomonadales; Pseudomonadaceae. The record is from RNAcentral. RNAcentral also lists the same sequence under 2 other names.
CCAUCCCUGGGGUGUUGGCCAGCCGGAGAUGUCCCUGAGCCGAUACUCCUGUACCAGGGGACUACGCGCGGUGCCAGUGUGCAUGUCCGCAUGACGGAAAGCCUGAGGUAUCGCCGUAUUCUCCGCCUUGAACUUUCGGGUUCAAGGGCUAACCCGGCAGCGGCACUCUGGGGACUCC